Molecule: long non-coding RNA, 6014 nt
Filed under: Homo sapiens (human)
Lineage: Eukaryota; Metazoa; Chordata; Mammalia; Primates; Hominidae
Description: non-protein coding LINC00461:42
Rfam family: mir-9/mir-79 microRNA precursor family (bases 3527-3602)
Source: RNAcentral
AGACUCGCCAGCCUUCCGGCCGCACACGCAGACUCUUGCCCUGAGCUUCCAGCCCCACCACACACACGUUCUUUUGCUUCCCUCAGAAAAGCAACACUCCCCAAAACAACAAACCAAAAUCAACAGAUAAAACAGAUGUUUUAGACCAAUGCUCGGGUAGCUUAUCAGAAAGAAGACUCUGACCACGGAACAUAUAUAUUUUUUGGCUUCUCUCCACAAGAAGAGGAGCGAGAGACCACAGACAACAGCAAAUCACUCCUAAAACACGAUAACUACAAGUGCUCCCUGUAGGGAGAGGUAAAUCGCCCAGCCGACUGGUGAAGUCUUCUGGUUUCGGUACCUAUUUACCUGUGCACUCAUUAUGCGCCUCGGCUUCAUUAACGGCAGGAUCAUGAGCGCGCGUUUUAAUGUGAUGGGAGUGCUGUGUUGUGUGUGUGUGUGUAUGUAUGUAUGUGUGUUGGGAGGUGCUUGCGCUAGUGAGCACCGAGGCAGGCGCUCUGAGCAGAGAGAGAUCAGUCUUUCCAUGGCCACGUCUGGGACUCAUCUGCGGAGCCAUCUAGGCCAGGGCUCCUAGAUUGGGGUUCGACUUCACCCCAUGUAAAAAGAGAGGCCAGCAAAGGCUUCCCCUGAACAGCCAGGUCCUUCCCAUCGGAUUGUUUGAGGAAGGAGGCUUGAAGUGUGAGCCAUUCUGUAGCCGCCGCCUUGCCGGAUUUGGCCUGGUGUUUUGCACUUGAAACUCAGCGGCCUCAGCGCGGAGGUAGUGCCUCUCCGAGACGCGGCCGAGGCCUUGUCAUUCCCCUCCUUCCGCCCGCGGCAGCCCUGCGCGCCGGCGUGUGCGUGCCCGCGCACCGGACCGCUGGCACCUCCCUGUGCACAUCCGCCCCCUCCUCUGCUCGCCCCCUCCUCUGGGGCAGCUAAGAAAUGGUCCUCGGCCUCUUCUGGGCCGGAGGGCAGAUCUACGAGCAGGCAAGAAAGGGGCGCCGGUGGCUGUGGUGGCGACUUCUCCGCUCUGCCCUCGGCCGCCAAGUGUGCCGUUUCAUCGUUCCACCUCGCAGCCCCAGCUUUGUUUUCCUGACAUGUUCGUGGCCAUUGGGCCCCACGCCUGCGAGGGGAGUGUGUGCGUGUGCGCGGGGGUCGGGCGCGCGCGGCGGGUGGGGGCUCUCCCGCCAAGGACACGCAUGGCUGUCUGUCCUCCGGCUGCACUUGGCGGGAAAGCUAGGGGCCGCCGGCGGGGCUGAGCGCCAGCGGCUGUCAUUACCGCCUCCCUGCUCCCCGCGGGCUGCAUUUACAUACGGGCCACUCGUCUGAAUUUUUACGGCACUCUUCCCCCUCCCGUACCCGGUCGCACGCGCGCAGGCUCGGAACUACCACCCCGGCACGCAGACACCCGCGCCCAGAAUGCGGCCAGCCCCAGGCGCGCAAACAGGCCCACAGGGGCCGACGGCACUCGGCGGGACGGAUUCCUGCACCGCCUCCCCGCACCCCCGUGCCCACACCCCUGACAGCCUCUCCGCUUGUGUUGCAGGAAGCCCACCUUCCCCUCGAAGCCCCCACCCUUCUCUGUCUGCAUACUUCCACCCCCACCCUCCCACAUCUCUCCGUCUCUCUUUCCGUGGAAGGCAGACGCGCGCGCGCGCGCGCACACACACACACACACACACACACACACACACCCGCUUUUUCUUCCUCCUCAAAUAGAUGACCCCUAUGGCGCGUCCCUGGUACAUUUAGAAUACCUCUAGAGUUUAGAGAAUAAAAUUCUUUAGAAUGCAUUGCUUGUCUUUAGCUAAACACAUUUAACAACCACGACACAAACGGGGAGGAGUGAAGAAGGGGGACUUGAACCAAAAGACCUUUAAAAAAAAAAAAGUCUGCGAGUCAAAAGGUCAUUCUCCAAGUUUGUAAAUAAAAUUGCAAAGGGAGUCCUUAAGAAAGGAGAGGAAAGAAGGGGAAGAAGGUUAGGAAGACUCACAAGUUACAUAAAACAGUGCAUUGGAAAAACGACAGGGAGAUUCUGUAAUAAAAAAAAAAGAAGAAUCUUAAGAAACCAAGAGAGAGAAAAAAAAACUGGAGGAAAAAAGAAAAAGAGAAGAAAAGGAUUUUAAAAAAAAGAAAAAAGCAAAAGAAGUUUCCAAAGAAAUGUGUGCUUUGCAUCCUACAAUAGGAAAAUGUAGCCAUUGCCUUCCUUCAGACGAGACAUUUCUAAUUUGUUCCGUCUGUCAGGAGGGGACUAUGAGAGGUUUGGGUGCAAAUUCAUUAUCUCUGGCAACGCAGAACGUAGUGUGGGGACUGAAAAAGACCGUGGCAAUGGAUGAACAAUAGGGCUUCAGUUCAUCAGUAACAAAAGCAGUGGGGAAAUUGGUUGAGUUUCAGAGCACGUCCUCCUCGGCAGAGGGGGCUGGACUAGACCUUGGACAGCCCCCCCAAAAACUUGCCAAGCCUCGCACACACCACUUCACUCUCCACUCCGAGGCUCAGGGAGCAAGUGCCUGGCAUGGGGGGUAAAAGUUGGCUUUUUUUUUACUCCUUGGUCUUUUGCGCCCUUCUCCCUCUCCCCAGAAGGGAAGACCCAUUUAAACUAUUUUAGACGCAAUCAACCAAGAAUCACCAUGUGGAAUUGAGCGGCAGUUUUAAAUGUGUUGAGCAGGGGAGAGGAAUGAUGAGAAAAACAUUUUUUUUUUUUUUUUUGGAGACGCCGAAAGAAGCCUGUUUGUGUGCUGCGGCCGUGCUGUGACUUUGGAUCUUGUCUUUCAGCCGGCGCCUCGGUUCCUGCCCAGCUGGAUUUGGGGGGCAGCAUUGCCUGGCGCAGGGUUUUCAGAUGAGACUGCAAAGAAGCAUAAAAUGAAUAGACAAUCCAACCAACCAAAGACCGGGGGCAGCAGCAGGCCAGCAAGACGGCAUCUUCUCCUUCCCAGCCUAGAAGCCCUGUGAAAUCGAGGAUCUUCCCCCUAAAACACAUACACACAAGAUAUGUGCAAUCAAGCUGCCACCGCUUGGUAAAAAGCCAUGGUGCCUAACCAAAAAGGAUCAGGAACAGAUCCUUGAAUCAGCUGUCACUUCUAUAGAAUGGGAUUUUUUUUUCCUUCCUCCUUAACCUGCGCUGGAAAUUGCCGUUGGCUUUAUACAUCUCUAUAGAGAGAGGCUAAAGAGUCUUGCGUGAGAAAGAAGCAAUUUACAAUGCAAAUAGAGGCCUGUGAAGGGACGGAUGCUGCUGCUCACUCGUAACAGCUUGCUGCACCUUAAUAGCUGGUUUUAUUUUCUGAUAUUAAUAGAUGAAUUGUUGGCUAACGCUGCCGGAGAUUACUUGCUGAAAGGAAAAAGAAAAGUUCGGAAUAAACUCUGAAGGCAACAGAUCUCGUUUGGAUGUUUUAGCCGCGCACACACACAAACAGAAACCAGGUCAUAUUUACAUAAAAGGAGGAAUCUUAAGCGCGGCAAGUAUCCUGGACGACCACUCUUCGGUACUGCCAGAAAGGAUCAGGACCUGGAGUCUGGCAAGAGGAAGACAGAGGCCUGUGUGGGAAGCGAGUUGUUAUCUUUGGUUAUCUAGCUGUAUGAGUGUAUUGGUCUUCAUAAAGCUAGAUAACCGAAAGUAAAAACUCCUUCAAGAUCGCCGGGGAGCGUGUGAGAAUGAAAGACUACAGCCGAGAGACAGUAAAAACCAGAAAGGUCAGGAAUACUUAUUGAAUCUAACUUUGUUUUUGUUUUGUUUUUUUCCUUAUGAUUAAAGGUGGGAUGAGAGAAAAUUAAAUGACACACACAUGCUAAAAUAUCAAGGUUCCAGAUAUGUCUUGAGAGGGGUUGUUGCAGCUGCAAAGGAGAAGUGUAUAGUGAUAAUGAGUAAAGAUGCAUGUGCAGUUUGUUCUAUUUUAAGGCAAAAGUUAUAUCAGGGAUUUUUUUCUUAGAAAGGUGUUGCAGAGAUGUCUGGUACCUAGUUUAAAAAUGAUUCCAUAAUAUGUAGACUUGGGCAGUUCCUUUGGGAGGCACCUCCCUCUCAAAAUUUGAAGAUUGUGCUUGGAAAUUACUUUACAUGUAUUUGGGCUGUAUGUCAAUUUGUACGAAAUUAGACUUUCAGAAAAGUUUAUACUGGAAGGUUAAUAAUUUGUAUCUACUGAGGACUUAGAGCUAGCAGGCAAAAUGAAAAAAAAAAAAAAAAAAGCAAGGGCUGAUUUUUAUUCUUCUAUUCAAAAUACAAGGACAGAUGCUUCUCUGUUCCAAGAGGGUUUCCUUGAGGAAGCUACUGAAGCAGAAAGACAUGAUGGAGACGAGAUCGCCUCCCCUCUUGUCAAAGUGUUAAAAAAAUGUUCUGUCUUACUCUGCGCCUAGCAUUGGAAAUGAAAGUGACAUUUACGCCACAACCCACGUGUGCGCCUCCUCUCUUUUUGUUUAAGGAUGAUCAGGUCUAUCCAGGAAACAGCUCUGGCAUCCCAAACUGAAAUAAUUAGGACGUAUAUAGACCUGACAAAAAUGGAAAGGGGGUGGGGAAUCUGAGGGUCUGUCUUGCCUAAUUGAUUCCGCUAAACGGAAUGCAGGAGAUGUGAACGGCAGGACGCUCCGAUUCCCACGCUCGGGGGCAAGUGAUAAAGCGGGGCCGGGCAGCCUAUGACAGACAGCCCUGUUGGGGGGUGGGGGUAUGAAAAAAACAUCAAGUGCACACACCAUACUCAUCUCCAUCGCUUAAGAAAGUAAAGGCAUUUCCCACCCACAGCCAUCUGCAGCUUCCCAAAUGGCAGCACCAACUGGUCUGUAGCUGCUACAUAGUCUGCUUCUGUUAAUUUUUUAACCACUGUUUAAUCUGGCCAUAAUUAAGUUUGGCUUUCUUCGUUGUUUGAGAUUUUCAGAAUUCAAGGCAAGCUAGUAGAAAGCAAUUCCAAGAAAGUCCCAUGACUGCCUGCCCCUAAUGUCAAAAUCUCAGUCCAUGAGAUUAUGGCCUUGUGACCACAUUUUUGCUUUUGUUUUGGGUGGGCAAAUGUGUAUAGAGAUAAAAUACAUAUCUCUAUAUAACAGUCGUUAUUAUAAUUUCAUGAGGCUUUUUACCUCUUAACAUGAUACAUCUAGGAACUUGGUCUAAUUGUGCUAGUAGAUAUACACUAGAAGUAAAACUAUAAAGUCAUUAGCCUGUAGAAAGUUGAUUAUGAUAACAAUAUGAUAAAAAGUUUGUUUUGGAAUAGUCUCAGCUAGAUGGGUCUAAAUAGCCAUUUUAAUGUAAUCUAAAAAUAACACUAUGCCUAGCAGAAACUUUGGCGCUUUGGAGGUCCCCAUUGUCGCCUUUUCAUAAAAGUCCUUAAGUUUUCCAUAUGUCACCAAGCAAACAUUUGUAUAGGCAUUUACACAGAAAUAUAACCAUUGCAAUUAGAAAAUAUCCAAAAUAGCCUGUUAUCUUCCACGUGGCCUAGAUUAUUGACAAUCCCAAAUAUACAAUUUUUCUUUAAAAGUAGUACAAUUUCCUUUGUAGCUUCAAUUCCUUAUAUGACUUCAGACUGGAGAAGCCUGUUAAACCACUGUUAGUUUCAGUUAGAAAGUCUGAGAGACUUUAUACAUAAAUUCUCAAUUUGGCUGCUGUACACGUGCCAGAGUUUUACUACUGUAGUGACCGUUGAGAAGACCCUUGUUUAUUUACAUUUGAAGCACUGUUUGUGCAAACAACCUUUCAUUGUUAAGUGCCUGUAUUCCUUUCAUUUACUUCAUGUCCAGGGGUGCUAUUUACCUAGAACCAUUGUCUACUACAAUUAACAUUUACAUUACAAAGUGUGUGGUUUUCUUUUUCAAGGAGGUUCAAUUAAGGCAAUAAGAUGUUUGCUGGAGAAACCUAUUGUUUACUGAAAGCACUCAAUGAAGUCAAAUUACUGAAGCUUUUGCCUACAUCUUGGUCUUUUAUGUAAAUAUGUUAAAUAUAACAUCUAAGGAAAAUAAACAAUAUUAUAAUUAUGUGUUUGCCAUUGUCAUAUCAAACUUGCUUUGUAUCAUACUAAUGUUACAUAACUUAUCGAUCAAUAAAAAUACAUUUCAAUGUU